RNA transcript from Musa acuminata AAA Group (dessert banana), 2530 nucleotides. It is a transcript of the gene named probable beta-1,4-xylosyltransferase IRX9H, with no coding region annotated. The record is from RefSeq and is a predicted model, not a curated record. The transcript is spliced from 5 exons. NCBI's taxonomy places the organism in Eukaryota, Viridiplantae, Streptophyta, Magnoliopsida, Zingiberales, Musaceae.
AACGGAGCUGCAGAACUGACGCGUCGGAAUCAUGGCCGACCCACUUCUCGUCCCCUUCUUCCCAACUCCAUUACUUUCCUUAUUAGGAGAAGCUAAACUUCCCCCCUGACUCUGACCCUUUCUUUCCUUUCUUGAUUCAAUCGAUCGAUUGCCUGUCUUUGCUUCCUUGAUGCUUCUGAGAGAUGGCGUCCGUCCGUCGAACUCUCACGGCGGCCAACAACAUCGACGACGAUCGAUCCUUACACACUCAAACCCUCCCUUAUCGUAACACUGGCCGCCAUCACCCCCUCGCUUCUUCUUCCUCGUCCUCCUCUUCUUCGUCUUCUCCUUCCUACUCUUUCCUCGCGGUGCGCCGGAUCUUCGCCGGCGGAUUCCUCCGGAAGUCCUCCCGUGGCAAGCUGCCGGCGCCGCCGCCGCAGCGCCACCAUCCGUGGAAGAGGAACCUCUUUCGCUUGUUCGUCUUCUUCCUCCUCGGCUUCCUGUUCGGACUUUACCCGUUCGUCGAGCUCGAUGACUUUGGCUUGCGGCCCCACCACUUCUUCGAUUCCUCCUCCGCUUCCAUUAUCAGUAGCAACAACCUUCCGCGCCGUGAUCUCGCCGCGGUCCUCCGCUCUGGACCCAGCGAGAUCGAGCUCGUGCGAUCCGACGACGGCAACCGGCACUCGGAAGCGGAGCCCCCGCCGAAUGAUCACCCGGAGCCCACGCCCAAGAGGAAGCUGCUGAUCGUCGUGACCCCCACGUACAACCGCGCCUUCCAGAGCUACUACUUGACCCGGCUGGGCCAGACGCUGCGGCUCGUGCCGCCGCCCCUCCUCUGGAUCGUGGUGGAGAUGAACUCUGCCUCUAUGGAGACGGCGGAGAUUCUCAUGGGCACCGGCGCCAUGUACAGGCAUCUCGUUUGCAAGAAGAACUCGACUAACAUCAAGGACAGAGGCGUCCUCCAGCGGAACACCGCGCUCGAGCACAUCGAGCGGCAUCGUCUGGAUGGGAUCGUGUACUUUGCCGACGACGACAACAUCUACUCACUCGAGUUGUUCGAGCGAUUGAGAGAGAUCAGGAGAUUUGGUGUUUGGCCUGUUGCAAUGCUUUCUCAAGGCAAAAAUAAGGCGAUACUAGAAGGCCCAGUUUGCAAUGGAAGCCAAGUAAUUGGAUGGCACACUAAUGAGAAAAGCAAGAGACUUAGGAGAUUUCAUGUUGAUAUGUCUGGAUUUGCAUUCAAUAGCACCAUACUUUGGGACCACAAGAGAUGGCAUCGUCCAAACUCAGAUGCCAUUAGGCAACUAGACACGGUGAAAGAAGGUUUUCAGGAGACCACAUUCAUAGAGCAGAUAGUAGAGGAUGAAAGUCAAAUGGAAGGCUUACCAAAUGAUUGCCCGAGAAUCAUGAAUUGGCACCUCCAUUUAGAAGCUAAAGAUCUUGUUUACCCUAAAGGGUGGCAAGUGUCAAGAAACCUUGAUUCUAUUAUUCGCUUAACAUAGAACACGCAGCUUUCACAAGAUCGAAGUUUACAUGCUGGGACAUUCAACCAUGUUUGUCACUAGUAGAGAGUGGUGUAAUGCAUGCCCUAUCAUGAUCAUGCCACUAAACUACCCUUGGCAUCGCCUACACUGAUAAAGCAGAUAAGCAAUUGGCGAGGACGUAUACUGACCCGGUGAUCCAUAUCAGAGAUUUACACGAGGGAAGGAGAUUUAAUUGUAUUGAAAAGGAAGCAAUUUUGAAGCAUACAUCUAAGGAAAGAUACAAGUUGGUUGAUGUUAUGAAUUUGUUUAGUCACUUUUAGUGCCCUAGCUGCAAAUGUCUGGAAUAAGUAUGAUAAUCUGAAUGAAAAAAAAUUAAAUACUUGGAUUAAAACGUUACUUUAUUAAUUGGUGUAAGUUGCUCGUUUAGGAGGCCAGGUGACACCAGGCCUACUGACCCUGCUGCCCGAGUUGUAUAGGCUUGAUAAUGGACUAUGAUUAAGGCACAUAAUUCCAGCCAGGUACAAUUUUGAUCUUCUAAAUUACAAAUUCAUUUAUCAAGCCAUGUGUUAUCUUUUAAAAAAGAAAAUGUAACAGCAAAUUUGGAAAAUGUUGAGAAAAUAUGUGUAGCUUCUUUUGGCUUUCCCUGAAGAUCAAGUUUACUGAAACCCUCCAUCAUCUCUUUUGACAUUGCUGAAAUUUGUUUGCUGGUGACUUGUACAAGACAACUGUUUACGGAAAGCACUUUGCAUGGGACGUUUGCUUGCGGGUGCGUUCUUGAAUGCAAAUCAAUUUUCAUAUCAUAGCGGCUGCUCGAGGACGGGGCAGCACCACCAAGAUUGCAUCAUAUUACAAAAACAUUCAACAUUCUUUCAAGGUUAGAGACCACCAUAAAUGUUAUACUGCUUCAUAUUUGUGGAGAAGCCAGGCGUAUAUAGCCAUUUAUGUACAGACUCACCAUGGGAAGGAUAUCAGUCAUGAUUUUGUUAGAUGCUGCUUUUUCAUUUUCUUUUUACCCCCCCCGCCUUUUCUUCUAAGAAGCUGGCAUCCAGCAUCAAUAUUUUUGUGCUUCA